AAGGCCAGGGAUCGAACCCGUGUCCUCAUGGAUACUAGUUGGGUUCAUUAACCACUGAGCCACGACAGGAACUCCUAUUUCACUAUUUUGUACUUGUCAUGCUUGGUGUUCUCUGAAUUUCCUGGAUCUGUGGCUUGGUGUCUGUCAUUAAACUGGAAAAUUCUCAGUCAUCGUUAAUUCAACUAUUUCUUCUGUCCUUUUUUCUUUUCUUCUUCUAGUAUCCCCACUAAAUGUAUGUUGUGAUAGCUUAUGUAAAUGUUCCAUAGUUCUUAGGCUCCAUUCUUUUUUAUUUUUUUUCUUGCAUUUCACUUUUUGAAGUUUUAUUGACAGUUUCACUGAAGUUUUAUUGACAAGUUCAGAUUUUUUUUUUCCUUGAACAUGUCUAGUUUGCUAAUAAGCCUAACAAAAGCAUUCUUCAUUUAUUUUAUAGGUUUUGAUUACCAGUAUUCUUUUGAUUCUUAGAGCUUCAACAUCUCAUCUUACAUCUGUUCUUUCAUGAACUCCACUUUUCCACUAAAGCCCUUAGCAUAUUAAUCAUAGUUAUUUUAAUUCCAAAAUCUCUUCCAUAUCUGUGUCUGGGUCUGAUGCUUGCUUUACCUUUUAAGACUGUCGGGUUUAUUUGUUUGUCUUUCCCUUUAGCUUUCCCUCUAACUUUUUAAAAAUUGAGACAGGCAUGAUGUACUAGGUAAAAGGAACAUGUUUGGGUAGACCCUUAGUGUGAAGUUUUACACCUAUCUGACUAGGGGUUAGGUGUGUUUACUAUUUGCUGUAACUGUGGUGUCAAGAGUCUAAAAUUUCCACUAGUGUCCUUAUUUUUGUCUCCCCUAUUGUUUGGAGUUUUCCUAGAAACUUCUUAAAUAGGGUCUGAGGCCUGCAGUUCUCUCAGCUGUAAUCAUCUGCUAUUAUACAGGAGCUGAAUUGAUGGUAGUAUGGUAUAUGGGGUGGGAGGGGGGAGUUUUCUAUAGUCCUAUAAUUAGAUUUUAGUCUUUUAGUGAACAUGAGCUGGAUAUUUCCCUGUCCCCAGGGUUAUUAGGCUUUGGUAAAACCUCAGUAGAUUAGACACUUGUAAAUGAGUUUCCCUUGAGGGUAGGUCUUGCUGAGGAGAACAGAGAGCUCUGGAUAUGUUUCAGAAUGGUGACUUUUCCCUCCCCCAAGCACAACGGCAUUUUUCUCCAAACUUAACAGUGACAAACUAAUAGGAUUCUUGGAGAUGAAACCGACAAAUGUAGGGAGUGCUCCUUAAAGCUGGGCUUCGUAGAGUUUUUAACUCUUACACAUGUCCAUAUUGAGCCUGCAGGAAUUUGUCAAUUACAGUAUAAAAUAUUCCUGCCAGUGUUGGCUGUAGCAAAGAGUUUUCUGCUCCAUAAGCUGUGGCUUUCUGUAUCCACUUGUCCGUUGCUCCAGUUUUCAGGGAAGUAAUUUUUCUCGUGUCUCUAAUGCUCUGAUGGAACUGGGAAGUUGUUGAUUUUCACUUGGUUCAGCUUCUUUAUUGUCAUGAGAACAGAAGUGACAACUUGCAAGCUCAUUAAUAUUGGACCAGAAACCAGAAGUUCACCAGGUCUGCUUUUGAAACUUAAAUUAUCGAUGGAGUUCCCACAGUGGUGCAACAGGGUAGGCAAUAUCUUGGGAGCACUGGGACAUGGGUUUGAUCCCUGGCCCAGCACAAUGGGUAGAGGAUCUGGCACUGCUGUGGCUGUGGCUCGAGUCUCGAGGGACUUGACUAUAGCUUGGAUAUGAUCCUUAGACCAGGAACUCCAUGUGCCUUGGGGAAGCCAAAAGAAAAAAAAAAAAGAUAUCUAGGUACCACAUGUCCAUAUUGGCAGGAAGCAGUAUAUCUUUAUCUUGGAGCCCCUUGCUGUAUUGUCCUAGAAUCUCAGCAUUUAGUCUAGUUAGUUGAGCUUUCAGAUAUCCACAGAGAGGAACUACAGAAUCUGAUCAAUUCACUAACAGAUUUCCCUUUUUAUUCCUUGUUCCUAUUACUAUAAUGACUAAGUUUGACUGUGUCCCCAGUGAAAAGACUUGGUUCUCCCAGGCCAAUGCGUCUCUGCCUUCUACUGCCAUCAUGACCACUGAUGGUCCUGUUAUCGCAGUGGCACGCUUGUCUAUGUGCGCUCCACCCUUGGCUCCUGAGGUUAUAACUGUCCUUCUCAUACAUUCACCCAAAGUUCCAAAGUGAACCUGCCAUGUUGUGAUAGAUCAUUUAAUAGUGGCAGCUACAAACCCACAUCCCCUAUCUUCAUGGUGAACUCCUCUCACUUGAACUUCUUCUCCUAUAAGUAAGCUUACUCAGGACCACUUCAGUUCUCCAUAACUUCAAAGGGGUAGGGCUCAGGUCUAGAUCCAUUUGAUUUGCCCACUUGUUAUACAGAGACUAGUUCUGUAUUCCAAGAGGUAUAGAGAGGCCACAUAGUUAAGGCACCUGUGAUUCUUCAGAGCAUCACCCUGAUGCUGGAGCCACAUGGCUUGCAAUCACAUAGAGCUAGACACGUUUGGGAAUUUACAUUCAGUGUCCCCUAUCAAAAGUGGCCCUUUACCAGUGCAGAAAACCCAGUUCUCUUGCCUCAGAUUGGACAACUGUCAUGUGUGAUUAACACCCUCUGUUCCCCCUGUGGGAUCUGGGUGAAGCUACCUCAUAUCCUUGUUCUGUUUCCUUCCUUUCCUUGUCCUGCUCCCUCCACACCUUACUUGUCUCCCCUGGAAGUACUUCCCUAAUCAGCCACUUCCUCAUGGCUUUCAUCUCAGAGUCUGCUUCUGGGGAGCUCAACUUGAGACACCAACCAAAAGGUUCAAGGUGGUAAAUGCCUUCUGGUCUUACAUUUUCCCCUUAAUCUAUUCCAAAGUGAUUUGCUUCCUCCAAGUGAAGUGGCUGACAUUUAAAUGGCAGCUGCUCAUAUAAACAAAUAAACUUUCCUAGGCCUGCCCAACCAAAUUCUUUGCUAUUGGUUAUUUCCAAUCCUUUUACUUAAUAUUUUUUCUUGUGCCUGAAAAGGUCAAGGCCCACAGUAACCAAAUAUUUGGUCUAAUUGACCACUGUAUUCAGAGACUCCUGCUUGAAUAUUUGCUCUAAAAUCAGCUAGGACUUUCAUUUAAAAGAAAAUUCAACAGCUUUAUUGAGGCAUAACUGACACACAAUAAGCUGUACAUAUUUAAAGUAUACAAUGUGCUAAGUUUUGACAUAUGCACAUAUCUGUGAAACCAUCAUCACAAUCAAGACUGUGAAGAUAUGCAUCACUUCCCCAAGUUUCCUGGUGCCCCUUUAUAAUGUCUCGCUUCCACUCCUGUCACCCCUCUCCCAAGCAACCAUUAAUCUCCUUUCUGUUGUGAUAGACUAGUUUGCAUUUUCUGAAAUUUUACAUAAAUAGAAUCACAGUCUAUGCACUCUGUUCUGGUGCUGUUGGAACUUUACACUCAGCGUAAUUACCUUGGGUUUCAUUCCUGUGGGUGCGUGUAUCAAAGCUCAUUCCAGUUAACUGUGGAGAAGCCGUCCAUUGUCAGGAUGUACCACAGUGUUGAGAAGUCCACUCGUCCAGGAUACCUGGGCUGUUUCCAGUUUGGAGCCUUAUUACAAAUAAAGCUGCUAUGAACAUUCAUUCCCACAUCUUUGAAUGAACAUGUGCUUUCUUUUUUCCCUUUACUUCCACAUGAAAUACUUGGAUCUUAUGGUAGGUAUGCGUUUAACUUCUUAAGAAACUGCAAAAAAGUUUUCCAAAGUGGUCAUAUCAUUGCAUAUUCUCAGCAGCAGUGUAUGAAAGUUUCAGUUUGUGUAAGUUCUCAGUAAAUCUUGAUAUGGUCAGUCUUUAUACUUUCAAUUUAAUUUUAAUUUAAUUUAAUAGGUAUGUAAUGGUAUUUCACUGUGGUUUUAAUUUGCAUUUUAAACUGAAGUAUAGUUGAUUUAUACUCUUCUUCAGUUUCAGGUUUACAACAUAGCGAUUCAGUCCUUUUAGAGAUGAUACUCCAUUUAAAGUUAUGAUAAAAUAAUGGCUAUAUAUCCCUGUGCUGUACAAUAAGUCCUUGUUGCUUAUUUGUUUUAUGCAUAGUAGUUUGUACCUCUUAAUCCCCUACCUCGCCCUUGCCCCUUCCCACUUCCUUCUUCCCACUGAUAACCACUACAGUUUAGACUAUCUGACUCCUUCUUUCCUGGCUUCUUUUUCUCUCCCAGUGCCUUUAUUCAGGCAAAAAAAAAAAAAAACCAUAUCUCUUCCAACUUGCCCAGUUGAAAUCUAUUCAUAAGAAAUGAUUAAACUAGUCAGUGGCUGAAAUGCAGUUUCUACUUUUCUUCUCUCAGUGAAGGAUGGGGAGGGGAGGGUUAGGAUAUUUAAAAUAUACUCUUUCCCUCCCUAAGGAAAAGCUCUGCAUGUUUUUCAAGGUAUUGCAGAAAUCAGAUAAGUGGUAUGAAGAGAAUUUUGGAGCACAGGGGCCCUUGAAGAUGGUCCGCGGCACCUGCCCUGGUGGCAAGUCGGGCCCUAUGUGGUAAAUGCAUUAUGGGAGCAGCACUGGAGAGACACCAGCACUCUUUUGGCCCCACUUGAACUGUAAGAGGAGAACAAGACAGGCCUGGCUAGUGUCAGGCAUCCAUUCAGCCUCCCCAUCUUCCAACCUUUCUGUCCCCCAAUGCACUGGAGAGGAGGGGAAGAAUCACAGCCCAGGAGAGUAACAACCCCUGUGGACAGAUGGAGGGACAAUUAUCAGAGAGGCAGGCUCAGCAUGAGCUGGAAAAGCUACAUCAUCAGAUGCUUUGGUCUUAGGAUAACUUUAUAGUCUUAAAAAUUAUUCAAGACCCCAAGAGUAUUUAUGUGUAUUACAGCUAUCAAUAUCUACUAUUAAAAAUUAGAACUUAGAAAAAUUUAAAAUUUCUAAUUCAUUUUCAAAAAUAAUUAACCUAUUUUAUUAAAAACAACUAUACUUUCAAAAAUAAAAAGAAAUUAGUGAGGAAAGUAGCAUUAUUUUACAUUUUUUCAAACCUCUUUAAUAUCUGGCUUGAUAAGAAACAGUCUGAUUCUCAUAACUGCUUUUGCAUUUAAUUAUGUUAUUUUGGCUAUUGUAUAUGCAGAAAAUUGGCCUCACACAGGUACAUAUUUGGUAUGAAAAGGUGUACUUUAGUAGAUUUUUAAUAUAAUUAGAUAAUCUUUCUUCAUUCUGCACUAAAAUUUGACAAGAGAUAGAUGCAGGUUAGAAUUCGAAAUUAUAUCAAUGAAAAUUUUGUAUUCUGUUAUAAUAAUUAUCCAUUGGUUUAUCUUGCAAUUUUAACCAUGCAUGAUUUUGUAACAUCAUGUAUUGGUCAUUUGGAAAAUACUGGUUGGCUGAGUUACGUGGAUUUUCCAAAUGUUGAUGAAUUUUAUUAUAUAGUAUACAAAAAUCACAUUUUCUAAUAUCACUACCAAUCUCACCAGAAAAGCUUUUAAGUAUUGGGAAACUGUCACAUUCAUGGUGACAGAUAGUAGUUUUCCAAAAUUCUAAAUUUUACUUGAAAGCUUAAAUUUCAUCAUUGGCAACAAAUACUGUCAAUUGCACGUCUUGUAGAGAUAGACUGACUUCACCCAUUUUUGAGAAAAUGUCUGCCAAAUAACCAUAAUUUGUCUGUCAGUUGUUCUUUUAAGUAAAAAUGUUCUAUGAAAAGAGAAAAAAAGUCUUAGUUGUGCUCACAAUCCAAGCAACCACACAAGUGCUUUUCCUUGAGACAACUGUCAUACAUUGGUACAGAGAAGUACUUUAUUCCUAAUUCAUAUUUCAUCAGACAGAAUACUAAUGACACAUGUCACCAAGGGUCAGUGUUUAAUGAAGUUAAUAAUUUUUAACUGAUCCAUCAAGGACAUUUAAUAGAACCAUCUUUAUCCCCCGCAAGAUGGAGAAGAAUAUCAUGACUUACUAAGCACUGAGGACACUUUAGUGGAAACAGCAGUUUUAUCCAUGAGUGCUUUUUAAAAAAAAAAAAAACAAAAUAAAAAAAAACCAUCAACGCAAACAUCAACAUAGUCAAUAAGGCAAAUUAUCUUUUUAGUGUUAUUAUGACAACAGUUUUGUUUUCUCACAUUGCUGAAAGGGUCUCAGAGAUACCCCCACUACCACUGCCGCAAAGGAUACAUGGACCACAUUUAGAAAACCAGUUAUAUGCCAAUCUGCUAAAUGUACAUUCAUAUUAGCUGAAAUUAUGGAGCAACUGAAUCUUAUCCUUUUGGUAUAACAACUUGGCAACAAGAAAACAUACACCCUUUUUAACUGGAAAACCCCAAAUUAAAAAAAAUUGUAAGCAAAUUUUAAUUCUUUAGUAAUUAGUUUCUUAGGAGAAUUUUAAAACUCAGACUGGUAAAUUUAGUAAAUAACCUCAGAAAUCAUGGAGUUCAAUAUACCCUCCAGUAGAAAAAUAUACAGAACAAUAAAUGCUAUGGGUUCUGUGUGAUGGAUUACUUUGCAGGAACUGAGAGGUCAAGGAUGGAGCCAUGUGGUAUGGCAAUUCCCCAAGUCACAUAAAAUUAAAAAAACAAAGAAAUCCUUAAACAUAUUUGUGAAUUAAAAUAAUAAAAAAUAAAAACAAUCACACAAAAUUAGAUUUUCAAAGGAAGCAAUUAUUAUAUAUAGUAGUGAUUAGAGGUCACCACUGUGAAUUGACUAAGACUCAGAGAUAUAGAACUAAAGAAAUCCAGGCUCAACAAUUUACUAGCUGUGUAAUCUUGAGCAAGUGAACCUCUCAGGCCUCUUUUUACAUGUGUGAAAUGAGAGCAACAGUCCAUAUCCCCCAGUCUUGGUGUAUUACACAAGCUAAUUACAAGCUAUUACAAGCACUGAACUGUACCUGGCACUUAGUAGAUAAUCAAAAUGUUAUUUCUGUUUUAAAAGGUAGGCAGUGAUAUAGCAGAGAAAUCCCAUGGGUUAUCCAACAAGAUGGUCUUUACUAUAACCUGAAAAGAACCAUUAAAACAACAAUCUAAUCUAAAAGAAGGCAAAUGAAGAGGAAAAAAAGGAACAAUGAACUGAUGGCUCAAAUAGAAAACAAAGAGCAAAAUGAAUGUUUUAAACUUUAUUACCUUAAAUGUAAAUGAUCUAAAUAAAUAUCCUAAUUAAAAAGCAGAGAUUGUCAGUUUGGAUUAAAAAGUAAGAACUUCACUAUAUAAUCCUAUAAGAAACUUGCUUUAACUGUAAAGAACAAACAGGGUUAAAUGUAAAAGGAUGUAAAAGGCUGAAAUGAGAUGUACCAGGCUAACAUUAAUCAAAAUUAAGUUGGAAUGGCUAUGUUAACAUCAGAAGAAGUAGAGUUCAGGGCAGAGAGUGACAGGGAGAAAGAAGGUCAUUUCACAAACACAAAGGCAUCAGUUCAUCAGGAGGGCACGAGCAUCUUAAAUUUUUAUGAAACUAAUAACAGAUUUUUAAAAUACAUCAGUAAAAAUUAAUAAAACUUCAAGGAGAAAUAAAUAAAUCCACAAUUAUAGUUAGGGAUUUCACUAUCUCUCAGUAGUUGACUAAAUGGGAGGAUAAAAGGCACAUAACACGCACAGAGAAGACUUGAACAACACAACCGGACUUAAUUGACAUUUAAAGAACACUCCACCUAAUGGCAGUAGAAUAGAUGUUCUUUUCAAGUGCAUGUACAUGGAACACUUAUCAAGAGACACCACAUGCUGGGCCAUAAAACAAAUCUCAAUAUGUUUAAAAGAAUUCAACCUUACAAAGCAUGUUCUCUGAAACAGUGGUAUUAAAUUAGAAAUCGAAAUCAGAAAAAACUAUAAAAAAAUGCCCAAAUGUUUGGAAAUUAAGUAACUCUUCUAAAUAAACUAUGAUCAAAAAAUAAAGAUAAGAAAGGAAAAAUUAAAAGUAUUUUGAACUGAAUGAAAUUAAAACAUAGCCUUAUCAAAGUUUGUAAGAUGCUGCUAAUGCUAUAUUUAGAGAGAAAUUCAUGCAUGAAAUGCCUAUAGUUAAAAAAAAAAAAAAGAGCCAUCUUAAAUUAGUGACCUCAGCUUCCACUUUAAGGUGUUAGAAAAUGAAGAGCAAAUGAAAUUCAAAGUAAGAAGAAGAAGUAAAAUAAUACAGAUAUAAGUGGAAAUGGAUGACCUUGAAAAAAAGAAGCAAUUAAAAAAUCAAUAAAAUAAAAGCUGAUUUGUUGAGAUCAAUAAAAUGAAUAAAUCUCUAGACAGACUGAUUAGGAAAAAAUAGAUCAAUGUUAUGUCAAUAAAUUUGACAACUUAGAUGAUAUGCAUAAAUUCUUUGAAAAACAUAUACAUGUGUUAGUAAACACACACAUAUUUUCUUAUCCUGUCAGCAGAGAGAGGCAGAAGCAAGGAUACCUCAGCAACAAGGAGCACAGUGAAAUACUCCAUCUUGGUUCCUAACACCAUUCCCCAACAAAAAGAAGUAGGGAUCCUCAGAGAAAUGGCUGAUUCUAGGAUUGGGGCAGGAAAUACACAGAUAAGCCAGAUGAAUUUUGCAGUACCAGGAAGUGAGAAAGUGCUCAAACAAAAACACAAUGAUUAAGGUAUGUCAAAGGAAUAAACAGGCCAACUCAGAGAGCUCACCUGGCUGAAGCAGUGUUUGUCAUGUCUUACCACUCUUUUUUCCUACUUCCAUAGUGUACUCUUUGGAAGGAAGUCACUGUGUAGCCCCAGUUUAUGGAGUGGGAAGUUAUGCUACACUUCCUUGAGACUGGAGUAUCUGCAUAAAUUGUAAAUGUAUAUAUAUAGCAUAUAUAAAGUUAUAUUGGAAUUCUCCCUCGCCAUGCAUUCAGUCAUUUAUUUAUGUCCGUAUAAAUUCAUGAACAGUUACUUUUUAAUCUGAGUUUUAAGCUAAGACUAUUUUAUCUCAUUGCUCAAAUGGUUCCAGCUUUGGCUACUGGGGGCACUUCCUUACUUUCUGGUGCAAUAAGAUGUUUAGACUCAUCUUGUGCUGUCUCUAUGCCAGCAAAAGACUCUGUCAUUUCUACAAGGAUCUCUGGUUCAUUUAAGUGGAGAAGAGUAUUUAGAAGCAAGAUCUGAGGACAUUCAUUGCUACUGGUAUGUGUUUAUAUCUAGGUCUUCUCAGUGGACAGAGCUAGGAUACAGACAUAUGUAAUAAAAUGAGUUCAUAGAGAUUCUUCCAAUUCCAAUCCAGCAUGACAGGAUAUAAUCUAUUCUUUCCCUUUCCAUACUUUUAACUCCCCUUUCCAAUAGUGAAAAACUUGGCUCCCAUUAUCUUCAAUAUAUUUGCUCAUUGGGUCAGGGCUAAAACGCACGAAAGAUUGUUUCAAUGGAAUUCGACAAUGCAGCUCUUAAAGAUAGUGAGCUCCGUCGCUGAAACAGAGGCAGUAGAGGAAAGAAGUUAAGCAUAGCUCUGUAGUUAGAUCUUGAACCUAUCAUUUCUAAAGUGUUUAACUUUGGACAAGAUGUGUCACUUAUUCAAGCCUCAAUUUCUUCAUCUAUAAAAUGACGUUAUUUACCUUACUGGGUUGUUGUGAGGAUUAAGUGGGCCACUGUAUGGUGGCCUUAGUUAAGUGUUCAGUAAAUGGGAGCUAAAUGUUGUUUUCAAUACAUUUAGGAAACCCCAAUAUAUCAUGUUGAGUGAAAAAGGCAAGAAACAAAAUAGGAAAAUCCCUACUUGUGCCUAGAUAUUUUCCUUAGGAAAGGAACUGUUAACAGACGGAUAAAAAUGAGACUCACUUUUCAUGGCACAACUUUGUGCUGUUUAAAAAUUGUGCCAUGUAUCUGUGUUACUUUUAUAUUUAGAAAGGCAAACCUCAUCUUAGAAGGUUUUUGGGUUAAUUAAAAGGUUGAUUUAAUAUCUCAAACCAAAAGUUUGAAAACAAUGUCUGUGUAAGUUGUUUUCCUGAGAUGCAGUGCUGAGCCCUCUGUGUCCUGGCCAGCUGGGAAACCGACCCUGCAGGCAGCAACGUGACCACAGUCAGGACACAUAGCCUAUUCUUUUAUAGCAUUAGAAAGCAAUACUGAUCUGCUGGUAAUGUUCUCUUUAUUAUGUUGUUUUAUUUACUUACAGACGUUUACUAAGCACCUAACUUGUUUCAAGCACUACUGGAGACACUGGGGAUAUAGCAGUCAACUAACCCACUAAAAAUCCUUGUCCUCAUGGAGCUUACAUUCUACUAUGCGGAUAUUUCAUUUAUCUAUUGCUGCUUCAUAACCUUUCCCCAAACAUAGUAUCUUCAAACUUUUUAUUUCCUCACCUAUGAAUUAGGAAAUCAGGGCCUGGCCUGACACCUCUGCUCCAUAUGGUGUCCAAUGAUGGGUCAUUCACUUGACUUCAUUCAGCUGAUGGUUAUGAUUGACUAGAAAGUUCAAGAAGCCUUUACUCAGUCUGGAGUAAGACUUUACCCAUGUCUGGGGUCUUGGAGUACUCAUCCAUAUGUGGCCACUUUCCACUGGGCUAGCUUGACCUUCCUUACAAUUUGGUGGUCUCAGGUAGUUGGUUUUCUUACAUGGCUGUUGGCUUCCAAGAGAAAGACAGACAGAAGUCCAGAUUCAAGUGGAGGGGAAACAGACUCCAUUUUUUGACUGGAGUGGGGAGGGAAGCAGUGAUGUUACAUUAGAAAAAAGUAUGUGGGAUGGAAGUUAAUGUAGUUAUAUUUAGAAACAAUCUAUCUCAGAAAGAUUGAUAACUAAUAAGACAAGUAAGUAAAAAUGAAUUCUAAGGAGAAAACUAAAGCAAGGAAUGGUAUAGAAAAUCUGAGUCUGGGAUAGAGUUACAAUUUUAAGUCAGGGAAGGACUCAUUAAGAAAGUUACAUUUAAAUUAAGUCUUGAAGGAAAUGAGGAUAACUGGGGUAAGAACCUUCCAGGCAGAAGAAACAGCAAGUGUGAAGCCUCCGAGGCAGGAACAUGCCUGGCAUAUUCAAGGUGGCAAAUGGCAAGAGAGUGAGGCAUCUUAAAAAGAGAAGACAAAGUCAGAGAGGUAAGGGGUCAGCAUAUCAUGGAGAGUCUUAUAGGUCAUUUGGCUUUUACUCUAAAUUAUAAGGGGGGCCCUUGGAUAUUUUUUGAGUUUGGAAGAGAUACAACCUGACUUGUGUUUUCACAGGAUCCCUGUUGGCUAUACUGAGUAUAGACAAUAGGAUGCUAAACAGAAGUAGGAAGAACAGUUAGAAGAUACUGCAACAAUUCAGGCAAGAAAUGAAGGUGGCUUAAAUUAGGAUGGAAGCAACAGGGAUGGUAAUAAUUGGUUGGAUUCUGGAUAUAUUUUUAACACAUACCCCAAAAGAUUUGCUGAUGGACUGGACAGAGUAGGGAGGAAGGAGAGAAACCAAAGAUGAGUUCAAGAUUUCUUUACCUGAGUGACUGGAAAGAUGAAGUUAGUAUUUACCAGAUGGAGAAAACUAAGAUCAAGACUGGGAGAACAGUCAGUCGAAGGUCAUGCUAGAAUGACUAUUAGAUUUCCAAGGGUAGCUAUUUAAUAGGAAGUGGAACAUACAGUUGUGUGUGUAUAUGUGUGCGUGUGUGUGUGUGUGUACACAUAUACAUGCACAUACCUUUAAAUGCACAGGAAACUUUUUGGAAAUAUAUAUUAAAAACCAUUAAUAAUUACCUCUGGAUAAUGGGAAUCUUCAAAUUUUGUGGCUUAGCGACUUAAGAACCUGACUAGUAUCCAUGAGGAUGCAGAUUUGAUCCCUGGCCUCACUCACUGGGUUAAGGAUCUGGGGUUGCUGUGGCUAUGGAGUAAGCUGGCAGCUGCAUUUCCGAUUUGAACCCUAGACCAGGAACUUCCACAUGCCAAGGGUGUGGCCCUAAAAAAAACACACUGAGGCGUGAGAGAAGGGAGUAAUAUAUAUAUUUCAUUUGUUUUAAAAACGUAAUACCCUUCUGUUAUAUAUAUUAAAUGACUCAAGUCACCACAAAUAGGUUGCAUCAGGAAAGCCCAUGCUAGAUCAGGUUAUCAACAAUGUCCUUUCAGGCUCUGAUAUUGAUUUCUACAGCUAGGAAUUAACUGCUAAUUUUUACCCUCACUUCCUCCUUAGGCUUCUGUGAAAUUUAGAAUGUGUAAACAGCCUAAUUCACUUGCCUCAUCUUGAAAACAGUACCAAGAGCUCUCAGUGCUUACCUACCUCACAGGAAAUUUGAGGUUGGAUUAGAUAAGGUGUUCAAAUACUCUGAGUUACCAUAAAGAUAGGUGCUCAAGUCGGCAGGAUAUUAUGACUCCUGGAAUAUUAAAAGGCAGUAAAAAGAAGCUGUUUCUGCCUUUUGAUCACAUAGGCAUUUUGAUACUCUUGAACUAUUACUCAUUUAGUCUACUGUAGAAUGAGUGUUUCUCCCUAAACAUUAUUCAUUUUAGCAUUUCUGUUCAUGCUUUCUGUCAAAUAAGAUUUCCUCAGCCUUUGAUUUUUAUCAAGAUUUACUUGACUUUAGUCUUCAAAGCAUUUAAUUCAAAGUUCACUCUAUCAGUGGGUGGAUUAGUUGAGUAACUGAAAUGCCAGUGUUGAAUACUGUAAUAGUUUGUUAUAAUAUUUCUCCUCACAGGAUACAUACUUACCAACGUCAUGUACUAAUGAACAAUGAAGUGACUGUCUAAAUAGCAGAAAUCUUUAAAGGAAAGUUACUGGUAAACGCAAGUGGAAAAUAAUAAACAGUGACAGCUCUACAAAAUGUUCCCUUAAUGCAUUUUAUGGGUUCUUCUAAAGUCAUUACUAUGUGCUGGAUAUUGUAUUAGGUGCUAAGAAUACAAGAAGAAAACACAUGUCUCUUCCCUCAUGAAGCUUAUAUUCUGCCAGAGAAAUGCCACAUUGCAUUUUAAAUUUUAUUUAUGCAACUGUCCUAAUGAAGUAUUUGAGAUGCUAGGUGAAGAAUUUGGAGAUUGCUGGCAGUAUCCAUUUCUGGAGAUUAUUACUAUGGAGAUUUUUAUACUUU
Molecule: non-coding RNA, 12807 nt
Organism: Sus scrofa (pig)
Lineage: Eukaryota; Metazoa; Chordata; Mammalia; Artiodactyla; Suidae
Source: RefSeq, a predicted model, not a curated record